CGCGGGCCGGGCGUCAUGGGCGGCCUCUUCUGGCGCUCCGCGCUGCAGGGGCUGCGCUGCGGCCCGCGGGCCCAGGGCCCGAGCCUGCUAGCGCGCCACAGCUCGGCGUCCCCUCCAGAGGAGGACGGCUGGGGCGGAGCUCAGUGCUGACUCCGGGUCUGGAAGCACAGGCCUUGAAACUCCACAGCAGCACAGGCCCCGUCUCCUGGCUCGGGCAGAAUCCUGCUACCUUCCCUCUUCAAUCUUCAGGCCCCUUUUGUCCCUGUUUCCAGGGCUCACCUGGUGGGGAAAGUGUGUUUCACCCUGGUUCCCUGCCACUCCUUCACCUCAGACACAGGGUGGGCUCUGGGUCCUUCCUCAUGUGGAAAGCCUGGGCUUCAGACCAUGUGUGUCGUCAUCCAGAAGGGCUGGAGUCAAAAGUGAGGCUGGAGUUUUGCAGGAUCUCCAGACUUCCCUGCGGCCACUGAGCUGGGCUGUGCCUCCGUGGACCUCAGGGUGGUCCCUGAGCUGGGCUGUGCCUCAGUGCCUCCCUGAACCUCGGGGCGAUCUCAGGCAGCUUCUGCCUCUGCUGGGAGGAGCCAUGGCCCCUGGGAGAGGCUAGAAGCCCUGGGGACACAUUGCCUUGGGUGUCCCUGACAGGGACUAUCAUGGGGGCGUUUCUGGCUGUGGGCACCAUCCUUAUCCCUUCCAGAGUGCCCUGCUUAGGGGCAGACACCCUGAAGCCUGGUGACCCCUGGGCUCCGGCUGGGAAACCCGGAUGGUGGGGACGUGAAAGGUGAGGUGGCAGUGCCUCUGACCCCUUGCCUUUUAAAGGAGGGCCCUCCUGGACCCGGGAGCGGACCCUGGUGGCAGUGAAGCCAGAUGGCGUGCAACGGCGGCUCGUUGGGGACGUGAUCCAGCGCUUUGAGAGGCGGGGCUUCACACUGGUGGGGAUGAAGAUGCUGCAGGCACCAGAGAGUGUCCUUGCCGAGCACUACCAGGACCUGCGGAGGAAGCCCUUCUACCCUGCCCUCAUCCGCUACAUGAGCUCUGGGCCUGUGGUGGCCAUGGUCUGGGAAGGGUACAAUGUUGUCCGCGCCUCGAGGGCCAUGAUUGGACACACCGACUCGGCUGAGGCUGCCCCAGGAACCAUAAGGGGUGACUUCAGCGUCCACAUCAGCAGGAACGUCAUCCACGCCAGCGACUCCGUGGAGGGGGCCCAGCGGGAGAUCCAGCUGUGGUUCCAGAGCAGUGAGUUGGUGAGCUGGGCAGACGGGGGCCAGCACAGCAGCAUCCACCCAGCCUGAGGCUCAAGCUGCCCUUACCACCCCAUCCCCCACGCAGGACCAACUACCUCCAUCAGCAAGAACCCAAGCCCACAUCCAAACCUGCCUGUCCCAAACCACUUACUUUCCUGUUCACCUCUGCCCCACCCCAGCCCAGAGGAGUUUGAGCCACCAACUUCAGUGCCUUUCUGUACCCCAAGCCAGCACAAGAUUGGACCAAUCCUUUUUGCACCAGAGUGCCGGACAACCUUUGUGGUGGGGGGGUCUUCACGUUAUCGUAACCUCUCCUCUAAAGGGGAGGCAUUAAAAU
This 1575-nucleotide small RNA is filed under the name Pongo abelii (Sumatran orangutan). RNAcentral describes it as "retained intron". The record is from RNAcentral. Lineage: Eukaryota; Metazoa; Chordata; Mammalia; Primates; Hominidae.